Molecule: long non-coding RNA, 415 nt
Filed under: Astyanax mexicanus (Mexican tetra)
Lineage: Eukaryota; Metazoa; Chordata; Actinopteri; Characiformes; Acestrorhamphidae
Description: lncRNA (ENSAMXG00005005646.1)
Source: RNAcentral
CUGCCAUGUUAUCCCAGCUGCACACAGAUCACUGAUAUGAAUGUGAACACUGAUUUUUUAUUAUUAUUAAUUUAAAUAGGUAAGCUAACCUAGUGGUUGUGAUAAAUUACCUGAUAUAAUUAGCUAUCCAGUUAGCUUACCUGUUCAGGAGAAAAAAAUGCAAGCUUGGCAUCGGUCUUGUAGUCUUUUUGAGCUCUAAAGCUCAAUUCAUACAUCGAACCUAUGCAGUAGCCAACAUUUAUCCAGUGAGAGUGCGCUACAACAGUUAUAAAGCAGAAGUGGUCACUGCCAUGUUGACUGACUGUAGAUCCUGUCUAAGAGACUGUUCACAUUCAGAGCAGUGCUUAACCUGGUAAGUGCUUUUUAUUGUUUUUUAAGUCUAUUAUUUGUACUAUACUAAGAUUAAUCACAUGUG